RNAcentral lists this ribosomal RNA (412 nucleotides) under uncultured bacterium. RNAcentral's name for it is "bacterial SSU rRNA". It matches the Rfam family "Bacterial small subunit ribosomal RNA", at positions 90 to 518 of the family's 1533-position model. The record is from RNAcentral.
AUCUAGUGGCGGACGGGUGAGUAACACGUGAGCAACCUGCCUCUGAGAGGGGGAUACGCUUCUGGAAACGGAUGGUAAUACCCCAUAACGAUAGUCUGAAGACAUCUUUAGACUAUCAAAGAUUUAUCGCUCAGAGAUGGGCUCGCGUCUGAUUAGCUAGUUGGUGAGGUAAGGCCCACCAAGGCGACGAUCAGUAGCCGGACUGAGAGGUUGAACGGCCACAUUGGGACUGAGACACGGCCCAGACUCCUACGGGAGGCAGCAGUGGGGAAUAUUGCACAAUGGGGGAAACCCUGAUGCAGCGAUGCCGCGUGGAGGAAGUAAGGUUUUCGGAUUGUAAACUCCUGUCUUAAAGGACGAUAAUGACGGUACUUUAGGAGGAAGCUCCGGCUAACUACGUGCCAGCCGCCGC